GAGAAAGCUCUUGAAUGUUCGGUCACUUGGGGAAGAAAAUUGAAGGUAAGUUCAUGGUAGUUUGCUUCUAUCUUGAUGUUCAUGAGUUCUUCUUGAUUCUACCUUAACUCUUGAAGCAUAUUUUGGUUUUUGGUUGUGUUGUGAGCAUUUGGUCAUGAAUUAAAAUGAAGGAAAUGGUUGUUGUUUCAUGUUCUUUUGAUGAAAAAUGGAAGAUAGGUGAAGUUGAGCCAAACAAAUGAGCAUGCAUGUGCCUUAGAUGCUAAGGGGAAAAAUCGGCUAACAUGUUGUGCUUUAAAAUGAUGAAAUAGAGACUAUACUUAAGUAAACGCAUAGAUAUGUGAUGAUUGAUUGGUGAUAUACAUGUUUAAAUAACAUCAUGAAGUUAUGUGUGAAAGAGUGAAUUUGGUAAUAAAUCUGUUUGGGACAGCAGCAAUAACGUGACUUUGGAAAAUCACCAUAAAUUGUGGGAGAUGAAUUAGAAGCUGAAUAAAUUAUGUAAUUAAAGCUUGUUGAGUCUAGUUUCAAAUGAAAUAAACAAGAACAUAUUUUGAAUUCUUUACAAUGAGAAAUUUUAUUCGUAAUGAAGAGUGGUCAGAUUAGUCAAACAGUGAAACAUGGGAAACUUUAAGAAAAAUCUGGUAUUGAUUGGUCAUACCAAAAAUUCUGAAAAUUUUAUGGAUAGAAUAUAUAUGAGUCUAUUUUCAUGGAAAAUUAACGGCACUUGAUUUGGAAUUUUGUAGCUCCAGUUAUAAAUAAUUUAGUGACUGUUGCUCAGGAAGACAGCUUGCAGUGAAAUUAUGAUUAUAUGGUAAACAUUGACAAAAAUUUGUUAAUGAGUUGCUUAUUGUUUUCUUAUAAGCUUACUAUGAUCUGUAGGUGUGGUUGGCCGAAUAUUGCAAGGGGUUAAUACGUAGUUCGUAUUUGAAUAGUUAGAUUAAUGUGUUAGUAAUCCAAUUGUAGGCAGUUCGUGUGUGGAUCUCGUCAGCAUAUCGUCGCAAACAGGUGUGUAACUAACACCCUCUUUCUUAGUCUAGAUCGGCAAAAGUCGAAAAGCUGAAAUGCCGAAAACCGGUAUUUUGUAGAUUUGCGAGUGUGCGAAUGCUCGUGAGGUAAAUCGAUUAAUGUUUUUGGUAAGCUGCAAUGUUUGGACUGCAAAGUGCAUGAUUUCUAUGUCCUCGAUAUUUUUGGGCUUAAUGGGCCAAAAUUGGAAUGAUGGGCCAAUGGGCCCAAUUCGGUAAGAACCCUCGGUAGUGAUUUUGUUAGUACGUGAAAGGUAGGAAUAUGCAUGAAAAACCCUAAAAUAGAUAAAUUAUUAAAAUACCUUUAAAAGUGGAAAAUUUACAGUUCUACCCCUAGUAGAUAAAUUACCGAAAAACCCCUAGGGUUAAAUUGACCUAAAUGCAUGUUUGAUUGUUGUUAUUUACUGCAUGCUAUGUUGUUAUUAUCUGAUGCAUGGGAUUGGGAUAUUGACGGAGGAAGUACUGAAAGUGGCUUGUCCACGUACUGGAGCCUUUGCCUCAAUUUACUGUUAACUGAGCAGCAAGGCUGCAACUGUGGAGUGUUGGGCUGGGUGGGUUGAGCUAUUCCCCAUAUGGAGUGUAGGGCUAGUACGGGUGGAGUGUAGUGGUUGGUGGGUUGAGUAGUCUCCCCAUAUGGGCUUGCAUAUGUUAUUGAUGUUGCAUGUAUUUUGAAAUGGGCCUAUGGGCCAUACUGUUAUCUGAAUAAGGGGCUAAGGCCCAGUUUAUUGUAAUCUGAAAAGGGCUCUGGUCCAGUACCACUGUUACCUGAAUGGGCUUAGGCCCAAUAGGCUUGAGCUGACUUGGGCUUUGAAUGGGUUUUCCUUACACAUUGAGUUUCCCCAAACUCACCCCUUUUAUUUUCAUCCACGCAGGAAAUCCCCAACCAUAGUGGGCUUGGAGCUGUGAGGGAAUUCGGAGUGGCCACCCGUUCUGAAAGUUUGAUUUUCUUCUGGUGAACUGGACAUCCUUUUAUUUACGUUUGAAGUUUUG
This 2009-nucleotide long non-coding RNA is filed under the name Gossypium barbadense (sea-island cotton). RNAcentral describes it as "long non-coding RNA (GBAR_LNC008892)". The record is from RNAcentral. Lineage: Eukaryota; Viridiplantae; Streptophyta; Magnoliopsida; Malvales; Malvaceae.